This 639-nucleotide ribosomal RNA is filed under the name uncultured Actinomycetes bacterium. Its description in RNAcentral is "bacterial SSU rRNA". It matches the Rfam family "Bacterial small subunit ribosomal RNA", at positions 232 to 885 of the family's 1533-position model. Lineage: Bacteria; Bacillati; Actinomycetota; Actinomycetes. The record is from RNAcentral.
CGCGGCCUAUCAGCUUGUUGGCGGGGUAACGGCCCACCAAGGCAUCGACGGGUAGCUGGUCUGAGAGGACGAGCAGCCACACUGGGACUGAGACACGGCCCAGACUCCUACGGGAGGCAGCAGUGGGGAAUAUUGCGCAAUGGGCGAAAGCCUGACGCAGCAACGCCGCGUGGGGGAUGAAGGCCUUCGGGUCGUAAACCCCUUUCAGCAGGGACGAAAUUGACGGUACCUGCAGAAGAAGCGCCGGCCAACUACAUGCCAGCAGCCGCGGUAAUACGUAGGGCGCAAGCGUUGUCCGGAUUCAUUGGGCGUAAAGGGCUCGUAGGCGGUUUGAUAAGUCGGGUGUGAAAACUCAGGGCUCAACUCUGAGACGCCACUCGAUACUGUCAUGACUAGAGUCCGGUAGGGGAGUGCGGAAUUCCUGGUGUAGCGGUGAAAUGCGCAGAUAUCAGGAGGGACACCGAUAGCGAAGGCAGCACUCUGGGCCGGUACUGACGCUGAGGAGCGAAAGCGUGGGGAGCGAACAGGAUUAGAUACCCUGGUAGUCCACGCCGUAAACGUUGGGCACUAGGUGUGGGUUCCAUCCAACGGAAUCCGUGCCGCAGCUAACGCAUUAAGUGCCCCGCCUGGGGAGUACGG